Molecule: ribosomal RNA, 440 nt
Filed under: uncultured bacterium
Lineage: Bacteria
Description: partial 16S ribosomal RNA
Rfam family: Bacterial small subunit ribosomal RNA
Source: RNAcentral
CCUACGGGGGGCAGCAGUGGGGACUAUUGCACAAUGGGGGAAACCCUGAUGCAGCGACGCCGCGUGAGUGAAGAAGUAUUUCGGUAUGUAAAGCUCUAUCAGCAGGGCAGAAAAUGACGGUACCUGAUUAAGAAGCCCCGGCUAACUACGUGCCAGCAGCCGCGGGAAUACGUAGGGGGCCAGCGUUAUCCGGAUUUCAUGGGUGUAAAGGGAGCGUAGACGGCAGCAAAAGUCUGUAGUGAAAGGCCGGGGCUUAACCCCGGAACUGCUAUGGAAACUGUGCAGCUAGAGUGCAGGAGAGGUAAGUGGAAUUCCUAGUGGAGCGGUGAAAUGCGUAGAUAUUAGGAGGAACACCAGUGGCGAAGGCGGCUUACUGGACUGUAACUGACGUUGAGGCUCGAAAGCGUGGGGAGCAAACAGGAUUAGAGACCCCUGUAGUC